GGUCAAGUUAUUAAGGGUGCAGGGCGGAUGCCUUGGCACUAGGAGCCGAUGAAGGACGUGAUAAGCUGCGAUAAGCUUCGGGGAGUUGCACGUAAACUUUGAUCCGAAGAUUUCCGAAUGAGGAAACUCACUUAGAGUAAUGUCUAAGUAUCAUUAAGUGAAUACAUAGCUUAAUGAGGGGAACUCAGGGAACUGAAACAUCUAAGUACCUGAAGGAAGAGAAAGAAAUUCGAUUCCGUAAGUAGCGGCGAGCGAACGCGGAUUAGCCCAAACCAAUAAAGUUUUCUUUAUUGGGGUUGCGGACAUAUCAUAACGAAGAGGUAUCGUAAUUGAAGAGGUUUGGAAAGACCCACCACAGAAGGUAAUAGUCCUGUAUGUUAAACGAGAAGACUUUAGAUAUGAUCCAGAGUACCACGGGACACGUGAAACCCUGUGGGAAGCAGGAGGGACCACCCUCCAAGGCUAAAUACUACCUAGUGACCGAUAGCGUAUAGUACCGUGAGGGAAAGGUGAAAAGAACCCCGGGAGGGGAGUGAAAUAGAACCUGAAACCCUGCACUUACAAGCUGUGGAAGCACAUUUCUUGUGUGACCGCGUACUUUUUGUAGAACGGGCCAACGAGUUACGUUAAGUAGCAAGGUUAAGCACUUAAGGUGCGGAGCCGUAGCGAAAGCGAGUUUUAACUGAGCGUUCAGUUACUUGACGUAGACCCGAAACCGGGCGACCUACCCAUGAGCAGGAUGAAGCGAAAGUAAAAUUUCGUGGAGGUCCGAACCCACGAGCGUUGAAAAGCUCGGGGAUGACUUGUGGGUAGCGGUGAAAUUCCAAUCGAGCCCGGAGAUAGCUGGUUCUCCCCGAAAUAGCUUUAGGGCUAGCCUCAAGGUGAGAGAUACGGAGGUAGAGCACUGAAUGUCCUAGGGGGUAUUGCACCUACCGAAGACUAUCAAACUCCGAAUGCCGUCAUCUUAUACUUGGGAGUCAGACUGUGGGUGAUAAGAUUCAUAGUCGAAAGGGCAACAGCCCAGAUCGUCAGCUAAGGUCCCUAAAUGUAAGUUAAGUGGUAAAGGAUGUGGGAUUGCACAGACAACCAGGAUGUUGGCUUAGAAGCAGCCACUCAUUCAAAGAGUGCGUAAUAGCUCACUGGUCGAGUGAUCCUGCGCCGAAGAUUUCCGGGGCUAAAACUUACUACCGAAGCUACGGCAUCAGUAAUGAUGGGUAGGGGAGCUUCCCAUACGGGUUGAAGCAUGACCGUAAGGACAUGUGGACAGUAUGGGAGUGAGAAUGUUGGCAUGAGUAGCGAGAUGUGGGUGAGAAUCCCACAGGCCGUAAACCCAAGGUUUCCAGGGGAAGGUUCGUCCGCCCUGGGUUAGUCGGGACCUAAGCUGAGGCCGAAAGGCGUAGGUGAUGGACAACAGGUUGAUAUUCCUGUACUACCGAUAACCGUUUGAGAGAAGGGAUGACACAGUAGGAUAAGCUAAGCACACUGUUGGUUAUGUGUGCCCAAGCAUUGAGGCAGUCAAAGUAGGCAAAUCCGCUUUGAUAAUGCUGGGAUGUGAUGGGGAGCGAAAUUUAGUAGCGAAGUAGCUGAUUUCACACUGUCAAGAAAAGUCUCUAUCGAGGUUAAAGGUACCCGUACCGCAAACCGACACAGGUGGGUGAGGAGAGUAUCCUAAGGCCAGCGAGAGAACUGUUGUUAAGGAACUCGGCAAAAUGACCCCGUAACUUAGGGAUAAGGGGUGCCACCAUCAGGUGGCCGCAGAGAAUAGGCCCAAGCGACUGUUUACCAAAAACAUAGGUUUCUGCUAAGUCGCAAGACGAUGUAUAGGAGCUGACGCCUGCCCGGUGCUGGAAGGUUAAGGGGAUCUGUUAGAGCAAUCGAAGCAGUGAACUUAAGCCCCAGUAAACGGCGGCCGUAACUAUAACGGUCCUAAGGUAGCGAAAUUCCUUGUCGGGUAAGUUCCGACCCGCACGAAAGGCGUAACGAUUUGGGCACUGUCUCAACAACAGACUCGGUGAAAUUGUAAUUCCGGUGAAGAUGCCGGAUACCUGCGACAGGACGGAAAGACCCCAUGGAGCUUUACUGUAGCUUGACAUUGGGUCUUGGUACUACAUGUACAGGAUAGGUGGGAGGCUUUGAAACCAGGACGCCAGUUUUGGCGGAGCCAUCCUUGGGAUACCACCCUUGUAGUACUGGGACUCUAACCAUAGGCCAUGAAUCUGGUCUUGGGACACUGUCAGGUGGGCAGUUUGACUGGGGCGGUCGCCUCCCAAAAGGUAACGGAGGCGCUCAAAGGUUCUCUCAGUACGGUCGGAAAUCGUACGUAGAGUGUAAAGGCAAAAGAGAGCUUGAUUGCAAGACAUACAGGUCGAGCAAGGAUGAAAAUCGGACUUAGUGAUCCGGUGGUUCUGCGUGGAAGGGCCAUCGCUCAACGGAUAAAAGCUACCCUGGGGAUAA
RNAcentral lists this ribosomal RNA (2454 nucleotides) under Clostridioides difficile. Its description in RNAcentral is "partial 23S ribosomal RNA". It matches the Rfam family "Bacterial large subunit ribosomal RNA", at positions 1 to 2477 of the family's 2925-position model. Lineage: Bacteria; Bacillati; Bacillota; Clostridia; Peptostreptococcales; Peptostreptococcaceae. The record is from RNAcentral.